AUGUGUUUUCCAAGGAUCAGCCCUUGGAAACGUCCAAAGGGACUGACAACUUGGAUUGCUAGGGAAGACUCCUUGGCGUGUGUCGUGCCCCCUUCUUCGCCGUGUAGUCCGCCCGAACCCCGAGCUCCGCCAGCACCGCUCAGCUGGGAGAGGUUUGCUGGGAAGCAGAGCUUUCGGGAGCGUCCCGAGGAGCGCGGCCGAGCCCUCAAGGUUUCCAGACCAGAGAGGGAAACUUGUCGGCGCCCUGUAAUCACCACCAUCUGGUUUCUCCUCUGCAGCCGCCGGACGGCGGGCCCCUGGGUGCGGCCAGGGUCGAGGCGGCCGCCGAGCGGCCAGCGUUGUUCCGCAGCUGUUGCUCCCGGCGCCCCCGGACCUGGGGGGUGUAGGGCGCACGGAUUGCAGCUCACGUCAGGAGCAGCGAGGGACCCGACGCCCGCGUCAGUCCCGAGGCCCAAGCAGACCCCCGCGGUCGGCGUCCUCGCCGCGGAGCCCCCCUCUCGGCUCGGCUCGGCUCGGCUCGGCGCCACGGCCAGAGCGCGCCCCCUAGCGGGGGUCUCCGGGUGGGCCGGGCCCUUCCCCGCAGCCUCUGGGCGCUGAAGUUGGCAGAUCCCAGUGAUACUGCAGGAAUGAAUGGGGGAAGAAAACAAAAGCCUUGGAAACAUUUCCAAGUGUGCAAUAAAAGACCCAUCUGUACCUUUCUUCUCCAGCGCGUUCGUGGUUAAAUGCCCCCCCCAUACGCGCGAGAGGGGAGAUAAUUGCUGGGUGGAUUCUUGCUGGAGAACCUCAGGAAACACUGGCCCGAGAAGUGGAAUAAUUGGGGGUGGGGCGAGGCGAGCGUGCAGAGGCUGCCACACCAGCCUGAGAUCUGAUUCCGCUGUCUCUGGGGUGUUUGUGCAUGGAGUCCUGGCCGCCUGCGCCAAAAGGUUCCUCAGUCCCAAGUGAGGGGUCAUCUGAAGGUAGCGCCUCUAAGAUUUCUUUUCUUUGCAGUGGUCUCUGUGGCACCCCCCCCAUUCUGGCUCUGAGAUCCCUUCCCACCUUAUGACACUAGAAUACCCCACCUUCGGAGUCUAGGAUUCUCCAGUGUUUGCCUCAAUGAUUCCCACACCUUCUGAGUCCAGUUCCCCCACCUCUGACUUGAGGGCCCUACUUUGUCACUCUCCGGCAAUCUGGCCAUGGCCUGCUCCACCUCCCCCAGGUAGUACCUCCCUCCAGCAGCAUCUGCCUCUGGAAAUUGGCAACCCCAGAGUCCACCACUCUCCACUGCUCACAAAUCACCUACCCCCACUUGGGCUGGCCAGGAAACAGAACAGAGGAAGGCAAGGUUCCUGUCCAUCCCCCUUGGAGUUGUUCAACCUAGAAAUGAUGAGCUCUGUGGAAGCUCUUAGAGCCUCUGGUGGAAAGUAUACUAACGAGGACUUUACACAGAUGAAAAACUAUCAGUUCAAAUCAAUCCAUAGCUUAUUUCUUUUGCACUAGUGUGUUAAGCCUCGCUCAUCAAUCAGAACAACACAAAUCGAGCUUCUCCAGACGUGCAGCGUCUGCAUACUCACGUUCUCAGCCCUGCAGGAUUUUAAGGUCUUGCGAAGGCCAUGAAAACAUUUAAUAGGUAAGGCCUAGGAAAGCGGGUCCAAAAAUAGGAGUGAUAAUGGCUCUUUAGAGUCUCUUGUUUUGUGAUGUGCCUCACUAAUUGGGAAGUUCAACACGAGGCUUUCCCUGCCCAGAAAAGGCUGGUGUUUCAGAGUGGGGGGAGCAGAUGGAAGGGGUCCUGUGGGAAGGGAGACGUGGGUGUCCCCGGGUUUAAUUGAGAGUUGCAUUGUGUUGAAGGGAGGAGGGAAGAUGCCAAGGCUGAGCAGCGUUCUGUUCCCUUCGUCACAAAAUAACCUGCAAGUAAAAAAAAAAAAAAAAAAAAAAAAAAAAAAAAAAAGCCCGCGACUAAGAGCCGGCUCUGCAAUAGAUACCGUUAGAAGCACAGGGCCUCUGGAAUAAAGCUAUCUAAUUUCCUGCCGCAAAUCACUUACCCGAUCAGAAAACACAAAUAGCUGAACAGAAGGGGAAAAAAUAGAGGAGGAGGACGAGGACGAGGAAGAAAGGCCCCGGAAUAAAAAUAACUGCGCAAAAGGGCUCGCAUUCCACGCGCUGACAGGCGUCUCCUCCAAAUCUGGGGCAGUCGCGUCCUCCCCCCUGCGGCCCCCCUCGUGCCCUCGGACUUUCC
This 2212-nucleotide long non-coding RNA is filed under the name Canis lupus familiaris (dog). Its description in RNAcentral is "lncRNA (ENSCAFG00040011078.1)". The record is from RNAcentral. Lineage: Eukaryota; Metazoa; Chordata; Mammalia; Carnivora; Canidae.